Dalotia coriaria is the source of this 792-nucleotide long non-coding RNA. RefSeq lists it as uncharacterized. The transcript is spliced from 7 exons. Lineage: Eukaryota; Metazoa; Arthropoda; Insecta; Coleoptera; Staphylinidae. The record is from RefSeq and is a predicted model, not a curated record.
UAUCGAUUAGUUCGGUAAAUCGAGUUAAAUUCGAUCACGAAUCAACGCCGUGUAAUAACAACAAAGGUGUUGUGUUACUGACGAUUUAUAGUGUUUGUGAAAUAUGAGAAAACGUGAAAUUAUUCUCUCUCGGCUGUUGGAUGUCAUGGAUUGCAAAGAUUACUUGCGAACAUGUAACCUUAACCUGCCGUAGAUGUAUUGAAGAGGACUGUAUUCGGUGUGCCUUGGAGUCUGAUGAGUUAGUUCUGUUUUGUUACAGUACUCGUGCCUGGCAGUCCGAUAAGCUGUACACUGCCGGCGAACACAAUGUCGUGGGGCCGCCGUUCUUGCAGUAAAUUGUACGGUGCCUUGAAUGAGAGUCACUCCUACCGCUACCUUCGCACGGUGCCCUAAAUGGGAGUCUUUAUGGAUCCUUUGUUGGAUGAAGAAUUGGCUAAUCUGAGAUGGCCAACUUUAUCAAUAAGGACCAAGUGGAGAGGUUCCGUGGUACUGGUAGAGUGCGUAUUCAGGAAGAUGAAUGUUUCAACUGGACUAGAUACCAAGAAUUGUCCAAGAAAUUGAGGAUUGGAUUGCUGGUGAUGAUGAUGAUUCCAAAUACGAUUGAAUGAAUUUACAUAAUUUUGUAGCUGUUAUUGAUAUCAUUUUUGUUUAUUUUGUUAAAAGUUAUAAACAGAGCAUUAUAUAGUUAUAUUAUUAUCCUGUUUUCUUGCUUGUAUUGUUAAAAAUGUUGUAUAUAUUAAGAAAUUGAGUUUCUAAUUCUACAUGUUUGAAUAAAAUUGUUUUUUUUAUAAA